RNAcentral lists this unclassified non-coding RNA (329 nucleotides) under soil metagenome. RNAcentral describes it as "partial contains 5.8S ribosomal RNA, internal transcribed spacer 2, and large subunit ribosomal RNA". The stretch from base 1 to 120 matches the Rfam family "5.8S ribosomal RNA", at positions 35 to 154 of the family's 154-position model. The record is from RNAcentral.
GAUGAAGAACGCAGCGAAAUGCGAUAAGUAGUGUGAAUUGCAGAAUUCAGUGAAUCAUCGAAUCUUUGAACGCACAUUGCGCCCCUUGGUAUCCCGAGGGGCAUGCCUGUUCGAGCGUCAUUUCACCACUCAAGCCUGGCUUGGUGUUGGGCGACGUCCCCUUUGGGGACGCGCCUCGAAACGCUCGGCGGCGUGGCACCGGCUUUAAGCGUAGCAGAAUCUUUCGCUUUGGAAGUCGGGGCCCCGUCUGCCGGAAGACCUACUCGCAAGGUUGACCUCGGAUCAGGCGGGGAUACCCGCUGAACUUAAGCAUAUCAAUAAGCGGAGGA